RNAcentral lists this ribosomal RNA (432 nucleotides) under uncultured bacterium. RNAcentral describes it as "partial 16S ribosomal RNA". It matches the Rfam family "Bacterial small subunit ribosomal RNA", at positions 29 to 507 of the family's 1533-position model. The record is from RNAcentral.
AACGAACGCUGGCGGCAGGCCUAACACAUGCAAGUCGAGCGAGGACUUCGGUCCUAGCGGCGGACGGGUGAGUAACGCGUGGGAACGUGCCCUUUGCUUCGGAAUAGCCCUGGGAAACUGGGAGUAAUACCGGAUGAGCCCUUUGGGGAAAGAUUUAUCGGCGAAGGAUCGGCCCGCGUUGGAUUAGGUAGUUGGUGGGGGAAUGGCCUACCAAGCCGACGAUCCAUAGCUGGUUUGAGAGGAUGAUCAGCCACACUGGGACUGAGACACGGCCCAGACUCCUACGGGAGGCAGCAGUGGGGAAUCUUAGACAAUGGGGGAAACCCUGAUCUAGCCAUGCCGCGUGAGCGAUGAAGGCCUUAGGGUUGUAAAGCUCUUUCAGCUGGGAAGAUAAUGACGGUACCAGCAGAAGAAGCCCCGGCUAACUCCGUG